This 1190-nucleotide ribosomal RNA is filed under the name Lactiplantibacillus plantarum. Its description in RNAcentral is "bacterial SSU rRNA". The record is from RNAcentral. Lineage: Bacteria; Bacillati; Bacillota; Bacilli; Lactobacillales; Lactobacillaceae.
GGUGAGUGGCGAACUGGUGAGUAACACGUGGGAAACCUGCCCAGGAAGCGGAGGAUAACACCUGGAGACAKAUGCUAAUACUGCAUAACAACUUGGACCGCAUGGUCCGAGUUUGAAAGAUGGCUUCGGCUAUCACUUUUGGAUGGYCCCGCGGCGUAUUAKCUAKAUGGUGGGGUAACGGCUCACGAUGGCAAUGGUACGUACCCGACCUGAGAGGGUAACCGGCGACAUUGGGACUGAUACACGGCCCAAACUCCUACGGGAGGCAGCAGUAAGGAAUCUUCCACAAUGGACGAAAGUCUGAUGGAGCAACGCCGCGUGAGUGAAGAAGGGUUUCGGCUCGUAAAACUCUGUCGUUAAAGAAGAACAUAUCUGAGAGUAACUGUUCAGGUAUUGACGGUAUUUAACCAGAAAGCCACGGCUAACUACGUGCCAGCAGCCGCGGUAAUACGGGUGGCAAGUGUCCUGUCCGGAUUUAUUGGGCGUGAAGCGAGCGCAGGCGGUUUUUUAAGUCUGAUGUGAAAGCCUUCGGCUCAACCGAAGAAGUGCAUCGGAAACUGGGAAACUUGAGUGCAGAAGAGGACAGUGGAACUCCAUGUGUAGCGGUGAAAUGCGUAUAUAUAUGGAASAACACCAGUGGCGAAGGCGGCUGUCUGGUUCUGUAACUGACGCUGAGGCUCGAAAGUAUGGGUAGCAAACAGGAUUAGAUACCCUGGUAGUCCAUACCGUAAACGAUAGAUGCUAAGUGUUGGAGGGUUUCCGCCCUUCAGUGCUGCAGCUAACGCAUUAAGCAUUCCGCCUGGGGAGUACGGCCGCAAGGCUGAAACUUAAAGGAAUUGACGGGGGCCCGCACAAGCGGCGGAGCAUGUGGUUUAAUUCGAAGCUACGCGAAGAACCUCACCAGGUCUUGACAUACUAUGCAAAUCUAAGAGAUUAGACGUUCCCUUCGGGGACAUGGAUACAGGUGGUGCAUGGUUGUCGUCAGCUCGUGUCGUGAGAUGUUGGGUUAAGUCCCGCAACGAGCGCAACCCUUAUUAUCAGUUGCCAGCAUUAAGUUGGGCACUCUGGUGAGACUGCCGGUGACAAACCGGAGGAAGGUGGGGAUGACGUCAAAUCAUCAUGCCCCUUAUGACCUGGGCUACACACGUGCUACAAUGGAUGGUACAACGAGUUGCGAACUCGCGAGAGUA